RNAcentral lists this ribosomal RNA (424 nucleotides) under uncultured prokaryote. RNAcentral describes it as "bacterial SSU rRNA". It matches the Rfam family "Bacterial small subunit ribosomal RNA", at positions 355 to 796 of the family's 1533-position model. The record is from RNAcentral.
UGGGGAAUCUUGGACAAUGGGCGAAAGCCUGAUCCAGCCAUGCCGCGUGAGUGAUGAAGGCCCUAGGGUCGUAAAGCUCUUUCGCCAGGGAUGAUAAUGACAGUACCUGGUAAAGAAACCCCGGCUAACUCCGUGCCAGCAGCCGCGGUAAUACGGAGGGGGUUAGCGUUGUUCGGAAUUACUGGGCGUAAAGCGCGCGUAGGCGGAUUGGAAAGUUGGGGGUGAAAUCCCGGGGCUCAACCCCGGAACUGCCUCCAAAACUAUCAAUCUAGAGUUCGAGAGAGGUGAGUGGAAUUCCGAGUGUAGAGGUGAAAUUCGUAGAUAUUCGGAGGAACACCAGUGGCGAAGGCGGCUCACUGGCUCGAUACUGACGCUGAGGUGCGAAAGUGUGGGGAGCAAACAGGAUUAGAUACCCCCGUAGUCC